This 1166-nucleotide ribosomal RNA is filed under the name Carphurus sp. 2 NLG-2013. RNAcentral's name for it is "partial 16S ribosomal RNA". Lineage: Eukaryota; Metazoa; Arthropoda; Insecta; Coleoptera; Melyridae. The record is from RNAcentral.
GAAUAAAAAUAAUUAUUUUAUUAAAAAAUUUUUAAUUUAAUUAAAGAAAGAAGUUAAAGAUUUAUUAUGUUUAAGAAAAAUAAUUAUUUAUUAUAGUAAAUUUGUAUUGUAAGAGAUGUUUUUAUAUAUUAAAAAGAAAAAUUUAUAUUUUGUACCUCGUGUAUCAGGGUUUAUUAAAAUAAAUUUAUAUAUUUAAUAUUCUCGAAUUUAAAUGAGUUAAUUUAUUAUUUAUUUUAAUGUAGAAUAAUUAUUUAAAAUAAUAAAUUAGUAAUGAAACGUUAUUCGUAUUUAAAUAUAUCUAGUUUUUAAAGAAAAAAAUUUAAUUUUUUUUAAAAUAUAGCUUUUAUUAAAUUUUUAAUAAGAUUUUAUUUUAAUAAAAUUUUAAAGGGGAUAAGCUUUUUAAAAAAAAAUAUAUAAUUUAAAAAAAGAUGAAUAAAAUAUAAAAUUAAAAAUAUUUAAAGUUAAUAAAAUGUUAUAAUAUAAUUAUUAGUAAAAUUAAUUUUUUAUAGAAUUUAUAUAAUAUAUUUAAAAAAUUUUAUUAAUUUAAUUAAAAAUGAUAUAAUGAUAAAAUUAGUAAAAAUUAAAUUAAAGUAUUAAAAAAAAAUAAAAUAAAUUUAAGGAAUUCGGCAAAUCUUUUUUUCACCUGUUUAUUAAAAACAUGGCUUUUUGAAAAUAAUUUAAAGUCUAAUCUGCCCACUGAUAAAUUUAAAUGGCCGCAGUAUUUUGACUGUGCUAAGGUAGCAUAAUAAAUAGUUUUUUAAUUGGAAGCUGGUAUGAAUGAUUGGAUGAAAUAAAAACUGUCUUAAAGUUAAAAAUUGAAUUUUAUUUUUAAGUAAAAAAGCUUAAAUAACAUUAAAAGACGAGAAGACCCUAUAGAGUUUUAUAUUUAGUUAUAUUAUCAUAGUUUAAUAUAAUUUAUUUUAAUUUAAUUAAAUAUUUUAUUGGGGUGAUAGAAAAAUUUAAUAAACUUUUUUUAAUUUUAAACAUUAAUUUAUGAUUAAUUGAUCCAUUAUUAGUGAUUAUAAGAAAAAAUUACCUUAGGGAUAACAGCGUAAUUAUUUUUAAGAGUUCUUAUCAAAAAAAUAGAUUGCGACCUCGAUGUUGGAUUAAAGUUAGUUUUUGGUGUAGAAGCUAAAAUUUUAAGUCUGUUCGACUUUUAAAUCUUU